RNAcentral lists this ribosomal RNA (253 nucleotides) under uncultured bacterium. RNAcentral's name for it is "partial 16S ribosomal RNA". It matches the Rfam family "Bacterial small subunit ribosomal RNA", at positions 524 to 776 of the family's 1533-position model. The record is from RNAcentral.
UACGCAGGGGGCUAGCGUUGCUCGGAAUCACUGGGCGUAAAGGGUGCGUAGGCGGGUCUUUACGUCAGGGGUGAAAUCCUGGAGCUCAACUCCAGAACUGCCUUUGAUACUGAGGAUCUUGAGUUCGGGAGAGGUGAGUGGAACUGCGAGUGUAGAGGUGAAAUUCGUAGAUAUUCGCAAGAACACCAGUGGCGAAGGCGGCUCACUGGCCCGAUACUGACGCUGAGGCACGAAAGCGUGGGGAGCAAACAGG